Molecule: transfer RNA, 92 nt
Filed under: Athelia sp. TMB
Lineage: Eukaryota; Fungi; Basidiomycota; Agaricomycetes; Atheliales; Atheliaceae
Rfam family: tRNA
About the family: Transfer RNA (tRNA) molecules are approximately 80 nucleotides in length. Their secondary structure includes four short double-helical elements and three loops (D, anti-codon, and T loops).
Source: Rfam by way of RNAcentral
GGCGCGAUGGCCGAGUGGUCUAAGGCGCUGGAAUUAGGCUGCUGCAAGCAAUCCAGUCUUAACGGGCGGGGGUUCGAAUCCCCCUCGCGUCA